UAGGGAAUCUUCCGCAAUGGACGCAAGUCUGACGGAGCAACGCCGCGUGAGUGAAGAAGGAUUUCGGUUCGUAAAACUCUGUUGUUAGAGAAGAACAGCGCAUAGAGUAACUGUUAUGCGUGUGACGGUAUCUAACCAGAAAGCCACGGCUAACUACGUGCCAGCAGCCGCGGUAAUACGUAGGUGGCAAGCGUUGUCCGGAUUUAUUGGGCGUAAAGCGAGCGCAGGCGGUCAAUUAAGUCUGAUGUGAAAGCCCCCGGCUCAACCGGGGAGGGUCAUUGGAAACUGGUUGGCUUGAGUGCAGAAGGGGAGAGUGGAAUUCCAUGUGUAACGGUGAAAUGCGUAGAUAUAUGGAGGAACACCAGUGGCGAAGGCGACUCUCUGGUCUGUAACUGACGCUGAGGCUCGAAAGCGUGGGUAGCAAACAGG
This 429-nucleotide ribosomal RNA is filed under the name Bacteroidota bacterium. Its description in RNAcentral is "Bacteroidetes bacterium partial 16S ribosomal RNA". It matches the Rfam family "Bacterial small subunit ribosomal RNA", at positions 355 to 776 of the family's 1533-position model. The record is from RNAcentral. Lineage: Bacteria; Pseudomonadati; Bacteroidota.